UACGUAGGGUGCGAGCGUUAAUCGGAAUUACUGGGCGUAAAGUGUGCGCAGGCGGCUGAGCAAGUCGAGUGUGAAAUCCCCGGGCUUAACUUGGGAAUUGCGCUCGAAACUACUUGGCUGGAGUAUGGCAGAGGAAGGUGGAAUUCCACGUGUAGCGGUGAAAUGCGCAGAUAUCAGGAAGAACACCUAUGGCGAAGGCAGCUCUCUGGGACGGUACUGACGCUGAGACGCGAAAGCGUGGGGAGCGAACAGG
RNAcentral lists this ribosomal RNA (253 nucleotides) under uncultured bacterium. Its description in RNAcentral is "partial 16S ribosomal RNA". It matches the Rfam family "Bacterial small subunit ribosomal RNA", at positions 524 to 776 of the family's 1533-position model. The record is from RNAcentral.